This is a long non-coding RNA of Neogale vison (American mink), 365 nucleotides long. RefSeq lists it as uncharacterized. The transcript is spliced from 3 exons. The record is from RefSeq and is a predicted model, not a curated record. NCBI's taxonomy places the organism in Eukaryota, Metazoa, Chordata, Mammalia, Carnivora, Mustelidae.
GGGCUUGUGGGGCAAGCCGGGAAGAGACCGCCUUUUCUAAGGCGGGCACAGCUUCACUAGGCACAGCAAUUAUUCUAAAAACAUCUGGAGCAUGAAAUUUUAAAACGCCAGAAUUACAGUGGAUCGAGAUGGAGCCUUGGAUAUUCUCUGCACAGUGCCACAGGAGAGGCCAGGGAGCUUUCCCAGGAGGGCUCCUUCUCCUACAAGGCCAAGCGGUUUGCCCCGCCCAGGGCAUGCCCCAUUUUCUUCCACCUCCGGGGUCUGCCUGGAAGCCCUCUCUGCCCCUCCAUCAUUUACCGGAUUCUGACUCAGCACCAUGCAUGCCUCCAUGAAAUUGCAAAAACCAAAAAGACACCAGGUCCAAC